Molecule: ribosomal RNA, 898 nt
Filed under: uncultured bacterium
Lineage: Bacteria
Description: bacterial SSU rRNA
Rfam family: Bacterial small subunit ribosomal RNA
Source: RNAcentral
AGAGUUUGAUCCUGGCUCAGGACGAACGCUGGCGGCGUGCUUAACACAUGCAAGUCGAACGGUGAACCCCAGCUUGCUGGGGGGAUCAGUGGCGAACGGGUGAGUAACACGUGAGUAACCUGCCCCUGACUCUGGGAUAAGCCUUGGAAACGAGGUCUAAUACCGGAUACGUGCCGCUCGGGCAUCCGAUGCGGUUGGAAAGAUUUAUCGGUCAGGGAUGGACUCGCGGCCUAUCAGCUUGUUGGUGGGGUAACGGCCCACCAAGGCGACGACGGGUAGCCGGCCUGAGAGGGCGACCGGCCACACUGGGACUGAGACACGGCCCAGACUCCUACGGGAGGCAGCAGUGGGGAAUAUUGCACAAUGGGCGCAAGCCUGAUGCAGCGACGCCGCGUGAGGGAUGAAGGCCUUCGGGUUGUAAACCUCUUUCAGCAGGGAAGAAGCGCAAGUGACGGUACCUGCAGAAGAAGCGCCGGCUAACUACGUGCCAGCAGCCGCGGUAAUACGUAGGGCGCAAGCGUUGUCCGGAAUUAUUGGGCGUAAAGAGCUCGUAGGCGGUUUGUCGCGUCUGCUGUGAAAACUCGAGGCUCAACCUCGGGCUUGCAGUGGGUACGGGCAGACUAGAGUGCGGUAGGGGAGACUGGAAUUCCUGGUGUAGCGGUGGAAUGCGCAGAUAUCAGGAGGAACACCGAUGGCGAAGGCAGGUCUCUGGGCCGCAACUGACGCUGAGGAGCGAAAGCAUGGGGAGCGAACAGGAUUAGAUACCCUGGUAGUCCAUGCCGUAAACGUUGGGCACUAGGUGUGGGGCUCAUUCCACGAGUUCCGUGCCGCAGCAAACGCAUUAAGUGCCCCGCCUGGGGAGUACGGCCGCAAGGCUAAAACUCAAAGGAAUUGACGG